Molecule: ribosomal RNA, 253 nt
Filed under: uncultured bacterium
Lineage: Bacteria
Description: partial 16S ribosomal RNA
Rfam family: Bacterial small subunit ribosomal RNA
Source: RNAcentral
UACGGAGGGUGCAAGCGUUAAUCGGAAUUACUGGGCGUAAAGCGUGCGCAGGCGGUGAUGUAAGACAGAUGUGAAAUCCCCGGGCUCAACCUGGGAACUGCAUUUGUGACUGCAUCGCUGGAGUGCGGCAGAGGGGGAUGGAAUUCCGCGUGUAGCAGUGAAAUGCGUAGAUAUGCGGAGGAACACCGAUGGCGAAGGCAAUCCCCUGGGCCUGCACUGACGCUCAUGCACGAAAGCGUGGGGAGCAAACAGG